Molecule: ribosomal RNA, 393 nt
Filed under: uncultured bacterium
Lineage: Bacteria
Description: partial 16S ribosomal RNA
Rfam family: Bacterial small subunit ribosomal RNA
Source: RNAcentral
AUACGGAGGAUGCAAGCGUUAUCCGGAUUUAUUGGGUUUAAAGGGUGCGUAGGCGGAUGAUUAAGCGUGAGGUGAAAUGCCACUGCUCAACAGUGGAGCUGCCUCGCGAACUGGUUGUCUUGAAUGACUCUGCCGUGGGAGGAAUGUGUAGUGUAGCGGUGAAAUGCGUAGAUAUGCCACAGAACGCCGAUAGCGGAGGCAGCUCGCCAGGCCUGCAUUGACGCUCGGGCACGAAAGCGUGGGGAUCGAACAGGAUUAGAUACCCUGGUAGUCCACGCCGUAAACGAUGGGCGCUCGUCGUCGGCGGCAGACAGUCGGCGGCCAAGCGAAAGCGAUAAGCGCCCCACCUGGGGAGUACGGUCGCAAGGCUGAAACUCAAAUGAAUUGACGGGG